Molecule: long non-coding RNA, 280 nt
Filed under: Linum usitatissimum (flax)
Lineage: Eukaryota; Viridiplantae; Streptophyta; Magnoliopsida; Malpighiales; Linaceae
Description: long non-coding RNA (LUSI_LNC000796)
Source: RNAcentral
UCAGCUGUGGCGAUGUAGGGUUGCUUUUCCUAUAAAUAAUCAUCUUUUCAAUCAAGCCAUCCAAACUCAAUACGUCCAUUCAUACAUAGCCACAGCCCAAACGAAGAAUGAUUGCCGCUAAGAAAAUACUCACAGCUUCAGUCAAUGACUUCCAUUUCUCUCCAGCAGCUUUUCCAACCUGAUGUUCCCAACCAAUCAACAUAAACCCACCGGUCACACAAACAAAUUGGGCGUAACCCUAAGAAACACCAGAAAUAACAAACACUCACAGCAGCAACUG